Malaclemys terrapin pileata is the source of this 3278-nucleotide long non-coding RNA. RefSeq lists it as uncharacterized. NCBI's taxonomy places the organism in Eukaryota, Metazoa, Chordata, Testudines, Emydidae. The record is from RefSeq and is a predicted model, not a curated record. The transcript is spliced from 2 exons.
GCCCCAGAUGGCUGUGAAAAAAUAUAGAUAUAGUCAAACCAAAGGCAAUACAAGUUACAGUGCUGAGAUUACAUUUGCAAAGCUUAACUGUCCAGUGAGAUCCAACAGUCUGCCUUUGCGACCCUGGAGCCAGCAUGGUUUGGGGAUGCUGAAGAAGCCACAGGCAGCCGGCCUGGACUGGAAUCACUGAAAAGAUGCCCCAGGAGACCUCAGGGUGUAAAAGAACUGCCCUCCCAAGAGAGGAAGCAAGUUGGAGAUUGCACAGCACCUUCUCUGAACAUUAUACACAGACGUGGCCAGUCUGGACGUACGUGUAUCAUCAGAAAAAAUGGAUGCCAGCUGAACAGCAUUCAAUGUACCAUGCAUUUACUGGUUAAAAGAAGCCAAGAAGGGAAAAAGGAAAAAGAACAGAACGAGUUAACUGGAAAAAAAUAGCUAGCAAGCUCAGUCCGAAGAUAAGAUGCUGGCCCCAUCCAAGGACACUGCCCACAGCUAAGACUUGGCUGACAGCCAAGAAAAGGGGGGCCUGAAUGUGCCCAAGCAACUAUGAGAUCUGCAAAACACUGCCAGGCAUUAAUGAAAUGUGUUAGGUUUCUUUUCUCACAGAUAACAGAAGUGCUACCCAAAGACCCUAGCAGCCCUGCCGUUCAUUGAAACAAGGAGACUGAGUCUAUGUAAACCAACAAAAGACUGCUUUGGCUCCACACUGGAAAGGCCCUUUCCAAGUCCUGUUAACCACCAACACCGCUGUGAAGUGCCAAGGACUACCUGCCUGGACCCAUGCUUCUCACUGUAAAAAGACCCCUCCACCUCGGGAGGACUCUCCGACUGAUGAUAAGCCUAUUUCUCCUUCUAGCUCUGCUGUACCUUCUGGACAGCAGGAAAAAGAAAAAAAGACAAGGUGAAGUGCUAGUAACCUCUUCCUUGUACACUGACAGACCUACUGUGCCUUUGGAUUUUUCUAGAAGAAGCAAAACCAUUACAGGAUGAUGUGCUAGUAACCUCUCCCUUGUAUGAUGCUAAACCACACUGUUUCAGGAAAAGAGAAGAAGGAACACUUGCUUCAUUGAAACCACAAAGUCCAGGGAUUCCUGACUACAAGAGACAUUAAGAACUGACCCUGGUGAAGAAACAAAGAGUUAUACACUGGCAGGAAGAAACUUGUGGGACCCAUGCUUGGGAACGUGGUAUUGAUUGGAUUUUGGGGUUUAUUCUACAGGCUGCUCUCUGUGUUUUGGAUAAAUCCUUCAGCAUGUAUUGCCCUCCCUAAUUGGAUUUUAAAUGAUAAGUACCAAAGACACCUUAUUGCCAUUGCCCCUGCCAUCUCCUCCAUUACACUAUUACCCCUGUAACACAUCCAAAUACAGACAAUGCCAUAUAUUUGAUAAAACCAAUGACUAAGGCCUUCACACUUUAGUGAUUUAUUGAAAUAUUGUUUGAAAAAAAAUAUUUUUAAGGUUCAGGAUAUCCCAUAUAAUGGAAAAGAAUGGAUCAGUGGAGAUAAAAGUAUAUGAUAUCACUACCAGUGAACCCCAAGAAUCUGUAAUUGCAAUUGAUGGGUUCUAUAGCGAAUGUUCCUGGAAUUUGCACUGUGUUAAAUGAGAGAAGCCCUUAUUGUUAUUUGGUCACCCAAUUAGUGAACAAUCAAAUGAAUACCCAGAAUUUGUUUUGCCACUGGAAAUUUUACCUGCAUAGAAAUUAUUCUAGUGACUAAUAAUGUGACCUGUACCUUAUUGCAAUACACCCCUUCUUAUGCCAUUAAUAUCAAUGCCUCCCAGAAGUACAUAAAGGUGUUCAAGCAACAGAUGUGGUAUAGUACUACACCAAAGAGAGAUGUAUUAGGAUAUCAAUGGACUGUGAUUAACACUACAUUAGGGACUGUUAAAUUUUCAUUGCCCUUAUCCAGUUUCCAGAUUACCUCUACAUACCCAAAUUGCUCACAGGGGGCUGCCAUUAGAUUAGCACAACAGAGGGCUUGGGUUAUUUCUUCUAGAAAGAAGAGAGACUUAACCGGAUCCCUAUGGGAUGAGGCCAAUAGUGCAGCAGCAGUUUGGAAUAUUUUUAAGAACCAAGAACAUGAUGAGAAAUUGGGGCAACUAGAGAAGGCCAUUGGCCUUGUUUCUGGAGCACAACUAACCCAGGUACAGGCUGGAGUUGGUGAGUUACAUGUUAUUUCCGCCCUUAGUUCUAUGACCAAGAAGUUGCUGACAGAGAUGGUAUUGAAUAUCACUGAGGCUGGGAAGGCAUUGCAGUGGGAUCUAGCAUGUUCAGGCUUGGCCCACUGCCCUUACAGACACACCAGGAGUACCAUCUGAUCUAUGGCCAUGGAGACACACUUGGAGACUUCUGGGUGGAAGUGCAGAUGUUCUCAGUGCUCCUUCCAAGCAUAUGGACCAGUUUGGGGGGUGUGGACUCCCACAUACCGAAUCCUGCCGGGUCCAGGGGGAGGAUGCAUGUGGGAUUGGGUAAUUCACCGAGACAUCUGGGAAAUUAGACCUCCUGGUAUGCCCAAUCGAUUUUUAAUCAGUGCUCCUGGGAUUACAUCUGACAUUUGGAUGGGGUUAGGGAGUCAAUGGACAUUUUGGCCGUUAGAACCCCCACAGCCUCAGUGUAUCUGUAAACUGAAGCCAGGAGAAGUUGUUACUCUUCAUGACUACAUUUGCUGGGAGUGUAGGGGACAAGGAACUACCCUGACAGGACACUUACUUUUUUCAAGCUAAUGAUAGCUGUGUGUAUGUUAAAGCCACCACAUUGCAAGACAUACAUUUUAAUCUCAUUACCACUGCAGGCAAUCAUAUUAUUUACUGGCCUGCAGAUAGAAUUUUGCAAGUAGUCCUUAGGUUCCAGAUACCCUUUAAUUGGACUAGUUUAGUACCUGAUAGAUUUCAAAAUUUGCUUUCACUGUUACCAGAGGUUCAGAAAAUCUCUGAAGCACAAGGGCAAAUUCACAUGCUUCAAAAUAUGUAUCAAGUUGAAAAGUAUGCCUUUCAGACAGCUUAUAGAGUAUCCACCUUAUGUACUAAGUAUGUUGUAUUGUGUUAUAUGACUAAGAUUGUACAACAAUCCCAUCAUAUUAUGGCUAUGGGAAUGUUAUUGCUUGUGUUGUUGUUAGCUAGUGUAGGAGUAUGUUAUUGUUGUUGUAAAGGACGUAAUAAUAGUAAUACCUUUCAUGUCCAUGCUCAUCAUGCAUUGUCAUUACAUCCAAUCAAAACCCCUAAGGUUGAAGCAUCUGAUGUAGAAUCUGAAUUCCGAGAUUUAAUGCAAAUAGAGAUUUGAAA